AAAUAUGAAACAUGGCCACCUAGAUCAAAGGAAAGAAAUGACUGAUGCUACUUUAUCUGCCUUUAAAUUCUCCCUUUUUUUCUGGUGAGAAUGUUUGGAAUAUCUUAAGCCUCCGGAGCUAGACUGCCUGAAUUCCUCUCCUGACUCUGCCCCUACUCACUGUGAAACUUGGGUCCUAACCCUUGACCUCUGCCUCUUCCAUCACAAGGGAACUUCUAGAGCCAGAGGAAAGAGUAUUAUGGGUGCAUAUGUGGCUAGUGGCCACUGUUUUGGACAGCGAAUGUUUAGACCGCUGGAGAGGAAAGAGGAAGACCACCCAGAAUGGGAGGAAAUCAACUUGCAUGCUCAAGUGGAGCAAAGCACUGGGUAAAUGUGCACACGUUGCAGGGCUCUGCUGCUCGCCGGUGGAGCCCCGAGGAGGAGAAUGAAGAUGAGCUUGCCUUCUCGAGCCACCCUAAAGCUGGGAUGGAGCCUUGCAUCGAGUUUCAUGAAGGGAAUGAUGGAGGGAAAGUACGAAGCUCAGGAAAACAGAGCAAAGUUAAGCACGUCCUCAAUCCAUGGCCCCCAAUCCUCACCAUUCUGGGCAAGGCCUUUUCUCCUUUUUUUAACUUUGUUUUAUACAUUUCCUCUUCAUCCCUGGCUCCUCCUUGCCCCAGCCCCAAUACUAAUAUGUGCUUGGACAUGUGUGUAUAUCAAUACACUUGAAAUUUUAUGAUGUUAUAUUGUCUUUGUAUGCAUUUUAAAUAUGUAUGUAUAUAUAUGUGUGUGUGUGUAUAAAAGUAGACUGUGGA
Molecule: long non-coding RNA, 791 nt
Filed under: Equus asinus (donkey)
Lineage: Eukaryota; Metazoa; Chordata; Mammalia; Perissodactyla; Equidae
Description: lncRNA (ENSEASG00005037240.1)
Source: RNAcentral